ACCCUGGACGGGGUAUCACUCGGCUCGUCCGUCGAUGAAGAGCGCGGCGAGUCGCAAGAACUGAUGCGUAUUGCAGGACUCAGUGAACAUCGACACCUCGAACGCACAUUGCAGCCUCGAGAUCC
RNAcentral lists this ribosomal RNA (125 nucleotides) under Acanthosepion pharaonis. RNAcentral's name for it is "Sepia pharaonis 5.8S ribosomal RNA". It matches the Rfam family "5.8S ribosomal RNA", at positions 2 to 127 of the family's 154-position model. From Rfam's summary of the family: 5.8S ribosomal RNA (5.8S rRNA) is a component of the large subunit of the eukaryotic ribosome. It is transcribed by RNA polymerase I as part of the 45S precursor that also contains 18S and 28S rRNA. The record is from RNAcentral. Lineage: Eukaryota; Metazoa; Mollusca; Cephalopoda; Sepiida; Sepiidae.